RNAcentral lists this ribosomal RNA (398 nucleotides) under uncultured bacterium. RNAcentral's name for it is "bacterial SSU rRNA". It matches the Rfam family "Bacterial small subunit ribosomal RNA", at positions 30 to 429 of the family's 1533-position model. The record is from RNAcentral.
AUUGAACGCUGGCGGCAUGCCUUACACAUGCAAGUCGAACGGCAGCGGGCCUUCGGGUGCCGGCGAGUGGCGAACGGGUGAGUAAUGCAUCGGAACGUGCCAUUGAGUGGGGGGAUAACGUAGCGAAAGUUACGCUAAUACCGCAUAUUCUGUGAGCAGGAAAGCAGGGGACCGCAAGGCCUUGCGCUCUUUGAGCGGCCGAUGUCAGAUUAGCUAGUUGGUGAGGUAAAGGCUUACCAAGGCGACGAUCUGUAGCGGGUCUGAGAGGAUGAUCGCCACACUGGAACUGAGACACGGUCCAGACUCCUACGGGAGGCAGCAGUGGGGAAUUUUUGGGACAAUGGGCGCAAGCCUGAUCCAGCCAUGCCGCGUGAGUGAAGAAGGCCUCGGGUUGUAAG